UGGGGAAUCUUCCGCAAUGGACGAAAGUCUGACGGAGCAACGCCGCGUGAGUGAAGAAGGUUUUCGGAUCGUAAAACUCUGUCUUUUGGGGCGAACGUGAGUAUGGUGAACAAUCAUAGUCAGUGACGGUACCAAAGGAGGAAGCCACGGCUAACUACGUGCCAGCAGCCGCGGUAAUACGUAGGUGGCAAGCGUUGUCCGGAAUUAUUGGGCGUAAAGAGCGCGUAGGCGGGAUAGUCAGUCUGUUGUAAAGUGCGGGGCUCAACCCCGUGAUGGCAAUGGAAACAGCUAUUCUUGAGUGCAGGAGAGGAAAGUGGAAUUCCCAGUGUAGCGGUGAAAUGCGUAGAUAUUGGGAGGAACACCAGUGGCGAAGGCGACUUUCUGGACUGUGUCUGACGCUGAGGCGCGAAAGCCAGGGGAGCGAACGGGAUUAGAUACCCCGGUAGUCCUGGCCGUAAACCGAUGGGUACUAGGUGUGGGAGGUAUCGACCCCCUUUCCGUGCCGGAGUUAACGCAAUAAGUACCCCCGCCUGGGGAGUACGGUCGCAAGACUGAAACUCAAAGGAAUUGACGGGGGUCAUAGCUGUUUCCUG
RNAcentral lists this ribosomal RNA (593 nucleotides) under uncultured bacterium. RNAcentral's name for it is "partial 16S ribosomal RNA". It matches the Rfam family "Bacterial small subunit ribosomal RNA", at positions 355 to 941 of the family's 1533-position model. The record is from RNAcentral.